CGGAACCCGGCGGAUGGGGGAGCGUCCCGGUUAGAUGACCUUUUCCCCAUGAGAAGGGAAUCUGGAUUCUGCCCUCUGAAAGCGUCAUUUGCGUGAUCUGUGCUUCUCAUGCGUACGGCGCCCUAUGGCAGGUCUCUAGGUUCCGCCGCAGGCGCUCGGCGAGCAUCCGCGGGGUCCGUGACGCCUCGUCGCUUCGGAAUAUGGCCCAUCGAGCGUUUCUCGUCUCGCGAUCGGAGCUUAAAGCGCGCCUCGCAUCGCAGAUGUUUCUGCGAGGUGGCCUUUGUGGAGGUGGUCUGUGCCGGACUCACAGUCGUGCUCUAGAAACUUCCGCCUCAAUUGAAGUUUGAUACCAUCUUUCAUCUCUAUAUGCUGUGGGAUGCUGGACUAGUCCAGGCUUGUUGGUGCCGAAAACAGGGCCAUUUUGACCCAGCAGAAGGGGCCCCGGGGGAAUCCAGCUUGGGCGAGAGCAGGGAUUGAGCAAAUUGCUUAUCUUGCACUGAUAAGCACCGGACCCGAACAGGGGCAUGAGAUGAGCAAUUUGUUCAUCUUAACAAGAUGUGGUGUCUGAUGGGUCUACUCCUUAAUCAACUAAGUGACGCCUGGGGUGAGGGGGAGCCUCCUUCGCAGCUCGACCUUACUUUGGUAAAACUAAACAGACCACCGCUCCUCUGGACUGAACACGUUUGUUCUCCGCCACUUCCCCCCCCCAGCCCCGACCAACUGCACAACAAGCCUUGUUAAGGGCCAAUCGGCACACAAUACCUGACUUAGUCCCACCUCGCCAAAAGUAUAAAUCUGGCAUUUAGAAUCCUCUUUUUUGAGGACGAGAACUCCAACUAUCCGGACGGCUCGACGGGCCUGGACCUCUCUCUCCUCCCCAAGCAGGGACGCCUCUUUGGUGCCACGGCACGAUUUGGAUUCCCGUACGACACCCUCGAGUGAGGUUUUUGUGGAGUAUCCAAGUAACAGCGAAGGAGCGGUGCAGUUAGCAAGGCAUCUUCCCUAGUCCCUGCCUAUGAGCGCUAACUCUACAGAGUCAGGCGGAGCGGCGAUGCUGUCUUAAGGGACAGGGUGAGGCCGUUCCACAGAUGGGCCAAGAAUCGGGGCCGUGGCUCGUUGUGGCGGGCAGGUGGCAGAACGGCUGUGCG
Long non-coding RNA from Grus americana (Whooping crane), 1148 nucleotides. RefSeq lists it as uncharacterized. NCBI's taxonomy places the organism in Eukaryota, Metazoa, Chordata, Aves, Gruiformes, Gruidae. The transcript is spliced from 3 exons. The record is from RefSeq and is a predicted model, not a curated record.